Molecule: ribosomal RNA, 751 nt
Filed under: uncultured Suillus
Lineage: Eukaryota; Fungi; Basidiomycota; Agaricomycetes; Boletales; Suillaceae
Description: eukaryotic LSU rRNA
Rfam family: 5.8S ribosomal RNA (bases 182-336)
Source: RNAcentral
GACGAGAGUUGUCGCUGGCCUUUCGCGAGGCAUGUGCACGCUUUCUUCUGGACUUUCGCCGUAUGGGCGCGGGGCGACCCGCGUCUUCAUGCACCUCUUCGUGUAGAAAGUCUUCGAAUGUUAUACUAUCAUCGAGUCGCGACUUCUAGGAGACGCGGUUCUUUGAGACAAAAGUUAUUACAACUUUCAGCAACGGAUCUCUUGGCUCUCGCAUCGAUGAAGAACGCAGCGAAUCGCGAUAUGUAAUGUGAAUUGCAGAUCUACAGUGAAUCAUCGAAUCUUUGAACGCACCUUGCGCUCCUCGGUGUUCCGAGGAGCAUGCCUGUUCGAGUGUCAGUAAAUUCUCAACCCCUCUCGAUUCGUUUCGAGCGGGCGUUUGGAUAGUGGGGGCUGCCGGAGACCUGGAUUUAUUUCGGGACUCGGGCUCUCCUGAAAUGCAUCGGCUUGCGGUCGACUUUCGACUUUGCACGACAAGGCCUUCGGCGUGAUAAUGAUCGUCGUUGGCUGAAGUGCAUGAAUGAACCGUCCUGCGCCUCUAAUACGUCGACGCUUUCCAGCGUCUUCCUUAUUGACGUUUGACCUCGAAUCAGGUAGGACUACCCGCUGAACUUAAGCAUAUCAAUAAGCGGAGGAAAAGAAACUAACAAGGAUUCCCCUAGUAACUGCGAGUGAACCGGGAAGAGCUCAAAUUUUGAAUCUGGCGGUCUUUUCGGCCGUCCGAGUUGUAAUCUAGAGAAGCGUCUUCCGCGCA